CACAAGCGGAGGAGCAUGUGGUUUAAUUCGAUGAUACGCGAGGAACCUUACCUGGGCUCGAACGUAAGAUGACUGUAGGUGAAAGCUUACAUCUCUUCGGAGCAUUUUACGAGGUGCUGCAUGGUUGUCGUCAGCUCGUGCCGUGAGGUGUCGGGUUAAGUCCCAUAACGAGCGCAACCCCUACCUUUAGUUGCCAUCAGGUUAAGCUGGGGACUCUAAAGGAACUGCCUACGCAAGUAGUGAGGAAGGCGGGGAUGACGUCAAAUCAGCACGGCCCUUACGUCCAGGGCUACACACGUGCUACAAUGGCCGAUACAGAGGGCAGCUACCUGGUGACAGGAUGCAAAUCUCCAAAGUCGGUCUCAGUUCGGAUCGGAGUCUGCAACCCGACUCCGUGAAGUUGGAUUCGCUAGUAAUCGCGCAUCAGCCAUGGCGCGGUGAAUACGUUCCCGGGCCGU
Molecule: ribosomal RNA, 458 nt
Filed under: uncultured Sphingobacteriales bacterium
Lineage: Bacteria; Pseudomonadati; Bacteroidota; Sphingobacteriia; Sphingobacteriales
Description: bacterial SSU rRNA
Rfam family: Bacterial small subunit ribosomal RNA
Source: RNAcentral